CAAUAGCGUAUAUUAAAGUUGUUGCAGUUAAAAAGCUCGUAGUUGGAUUUCGGGGUGACCUGCCUGGUCCACCGCAAGGUGAGUACUGGUCAGCCGCCCUUCCUCUCGAAAGCCCCGACUGCUCUUCAUUGCAGUGGUCGGGUAGUUCGGGACGUUUACUUUGAAAAAAUUAGAGUGUUCAAGGCAGGCUCUCGCCUGAAUACAUUAGCAUGGAAUAAUGGAAGAGGACCUCGGUCCUAUUUUGUUGGUUUCUAGGGCCGAAGUAAUGAUUAAGAGGGACAGUUGGGGGCAUUCGUAUUUAAUUGUCAGAGGUGAAAUUCUUGGAUUUAUGAAAGACGAACUAGUGCGAAAGCAUUUGCCAAGGAUGUUUUCAUUAA
Molecule: ribosomal RNA, 377 nt
Filed under: uncultured eukaryote
Lineage: Eukaryota
Description: partial 18S ribosomal RNA
Rfam family: Eukaryotic small subunit ribosomal RNA
Source: RNAcentral